CGUAUCACCCAAGACAACUUUACGGAGUUGACGAUUGACGGAGCGAAGCGACGUCAAAGCGUUCAUUAAAGUCGAGUUGGCUUAGGGAUACGUUCGUUGGGUAGGGGAGCGUUCUGUAAGCCUGUGAAGGUGUGUCGUGAGGCAUGCUGGAGGUAUCAGAAGUGCGAAUGCUGACAUAAGUAACGAUAAAGCGGGUGAAAAGCCCGCUCGCCGGAAGACCAAGGGUUCCUGUCCAACGUUAAUCGGGGCAGGGUGAGUCGACCCCUAAGGCGAGGCCGAAAGGCGUAGUCGAUGGGAAACGGGUUAAUAUUCCCGUACUUGGUGUUACUGCGAAGGGGGGACGGAGAAGGCUAUGUUGGCCGGGCGACGGUUGUCCCGGUUUAAGCGUGUAGGUGUGUGUUCCAGGUAAAUCCGGUUCACUUUAACACUGAGGCGUGACGACGAGGCACUACGGUGCUGAAGCAACAAAUGCCCUGCUUCCAGGAAAAGCCUCUAAGCAUCAGGUAACAUCAAAUCGUACCCCAAACCGACACAGGUGGUCAGGUAGAGAAUACCAAGGCGCUUGAGAGAACUCGGGUGAAGGAACUAGGCAAAAUGGUGCCGUAACUUCGGGAGAAGGCACGCUGACACGUAGGUGAAGUGAUUUACUCAUGGAGCUGAAGUCAGUCGAAGAUACCAGCUGGCUGCAACUGUUUAUUAAAAACACAGCACUGUGCAAACACGAAAGUGGACGUAUACGGUGUGACGCCUGCCCGGUGCCGGAAGGUUAAUUGAUGGGGUCAGCGCAAGCGAAGCUCCUGAUCGAAGCCCCGGUAAACGGCGGCCGUAACUAUAACGGUCCUAAGGUAGCGAAAUUCCUUGUCGGGUAAGUUCCGACCUGCACGAAUGGCGUAAUGAUGGCCAGGCUGUCUCCACCCGAGACUCAGUGAAAUUGAACUCGCUGUGAAGAUGCAGUGUACCCGCGGCAAGACGGAAAGACCCCGUGAACCUUUACUAUAGCUUGACACUGAACAUUGAGCCUUGAUGUGUAGGAUAGGUGGGAGGCUUUGAAGUGUGGACGCCAGUCUGCAUGGAGCCGACCUUGAAAUACCACCCUUUAAUGUUUGAUGUUCUAACGUGGACCCGUAAUCCGGGUUGCGGACAGUGUCUGGUGGGUAGUUUGACUGGGGCGGUCUCCUCCUAAAGAGUAACGGAGGAGCACGAAGGUUGGCUAAUCCUGGUCGGACAUCAGGAGGUUAGUGCAAUGGCAUAAGCCAGCUUGACUGCGAGCGUGACGGCGCGAGCAGGUGCGAAAGCAGGUCAUAGUGAUCCGGUGGUUCUGAAUGGAAGGGCCAUCGCUCAACGGAUAAAAGGUACUCCGGGGAUAACAGGCUGAUACCGCCCAAGAGUUCAUAUCGACGGCGGUGUUUGGCACCUCGAUGUCGGCUCAUCACAUCCUGGGGCUGAAGUAGGUCCCAAGGGUAUGGCUGUUCGCCAUUUAAAGUGGUACGCGAGCUGGGUUUAGAACGUCGUGAGACAGUUCGGUCCCUAUCUGCCGUGGGCGCUGGAGAACUGAGGGGGGCUGCUCCUAGUACGAGAGGACCGGAGUGGACGCAUCACUGGUGUUCGGGUUGUCAUGCCAAUGGCACUGCCCGGUAGCUAAAUGCGGAAGAGAUAAGUGCUGAAAGCAUCUAAGCACGAAACUUGCCCCGAGAUGAGUUCUCCCUGAGACUUAG
This 1715-nucleotide ribosomal RNA is filed under the name Salmonella enterica. Its description in RNAcentral is "partial 23S ribosomal RNA". It matches the Rfam family "Bacterial large subunit ribosomal RNA", at positions 1154 to 2824 of the family's 2925-position model. Lineage: Bacteria; Pseudomonadati; Pseudomonadota; Gammaproteobacteria; Enterobacterales; Enterobacteriaceae. The record is from RNAcentral. RNAcentral also lists the same sequence under 1 other name.